GGGCCGAUAGCUCAACUGGCAGAGCACUGGUUUUGCAUACCAGAGGUUAGGGGUUCGACCCCCCUUCGGUCCA
RNAcentral lists this transfer RNA (73 nucleotides) under Candidatus Parcubacteria bacterium. RNAcentral describes it as "tRNA-Ala". It matches the Rfam family "tRNA". Rfam says of the family: Transfer RNA (tRNA) molecules are approximately 80 nucleotides in length. Lineage: Bacteria; Candidatus Parcubacteria. RNAcentral also lists the same sequence under 1 other name. The record is from RNAcentral.